UACGUAGGGCGCAAGCGUUAUCCGGAAUUAUUGGGCGUAAAGAGCUCGUAGGCGGUUUGUCGCGUCUGCCGUGAAAGUCCGGGGCUCAACUCCGGAUCUGCGGUGGGUACGGGCAGACUAGAGUGAUGUAAGGGAGACUGGAAUUCCUGGUGUAGCGGUGAAAUGCGCAGAUAUCAGGAGGAACACCGAUGGCGAAGGCAGGUCUCUGGGCAUUAACUGACGCUGAGGAGCGAAAGCAUGGGGAGCGAACAGG
Molecule: ribosomal RNA, 253 nt
Filed under: uncultured bacterium
Lineage: Bacteria
Description: partial 16S ribosomal RNA
Rfam family: Bacterial small subunit ribosomal RNA
Source: RNAcentral